AAACCCAAACAAGCCAAUUUUGGCAGCCACCCAACUCAUCCUCCGCACUCCGCUCCUCUCCCUUCCCAUAAUCUUCACUUCACUUUCUUCUCAAUGCACAUCAACCACCACUAACCUUUCACUUCGUUCUUAAAAAAUGUGGCAACUUCUCCUCGCUGCAGCAGUAGCAGGAUCUACUACUUUCGUAGCUAAGCACUUGUUUGCCCAGGAACGUCCUAGAGAGGACGAAAACCCUUUUCAAGCUUCCAUUGCUUCUGCAUUUGAUUCUCCUUUACUUUCAAACCAUGGUAAUGAAUCUGGAUACGAGAGUAAUAUCGAGCAGCCACCUGACGGGAUCUUUAGGUUUUCGAGUUCUACUUCUUCGUCAAGUGGCAAGAAAACUAGGAUUUUGAGGAAGAAAUCCAGGAUCACGGGUCGCCGAUUGAAAUUUGGUGCUGAAAAUGACAAGGUUGAUAAAAGAUCUGAUGGUUCCGAGAAGAGUGCAAAGCGAUUUGCUGUUUGCUUGAAGAAGAGGAGAACUGCCAAGAGUGUGCCUUCCAAGUGUGGAUCCUGUUCUUCUAAAGAUAGCUCUUUGUUUGGUUGUGGACUUGGAAUUGGAAUCAUGUACAUGAUGUCAGCUGGGAAAGCUGAGAUCAGUAAGCUAAGCCAUGCCAUGGACAAGACUUCAAAAAUUGUUCAGGAAUUAAGAACUGAUCUGUAUAAAAGAAAAACAGCCCAAGUUGCUGCAAGCACAAAAGAUUUAAUAAGUAAGAAUGAUCUUAUUUAUUAUAGAUCAGGUACAGGGCAUAAUAAUGACCCAAAAGAUGUCAAAGUGUCUGGGAUCCCAAUGAUUGAUGAUGUUGAAUGCCCAAGUAGUGUUCUUACAGAAGAGCCAGAGCCACAGCAGCUGGAAAUGGAUCAACUCGAAGCAGAGCUUGCAUCUGAACUACAAAAACUUCCAUGGUCCUAUAAUGAAGCUUCUGAACAUGAAGGAUUUAGGUUGCCAAAUAUGGACAAGAAUGAGGGUUCGUCUGGCGGGCUUCAUGAACUGGAGGGUCAAAGCAGUAUUUCUUACCAAUGCCAUGGAGUCUUGCCAUCUGAACUGGAUCAGAAACUGUCUCGUUUGCUCAUUGAACAACAGGAAAACCAAAUUGAGGAGCUAGAAUCCGAAUUACAUUCUGCACAAUCCAAACUCCAUGAGAAGGAAGCUGAACUCCAAGCACUAAAGGACUGCGUAAAACGCCUUAAUGAAUUCUCUCUAUCAAAUAUAUCAGGCAAGUUUUUCUGCCUCCAUCCACUUAAGAUUGUACGCUUAUGAGAUAAUAUUCUUGAAAGAAAGCAACAACUCAACUAUUGGUUUUUGCAUGAGUUGGUAUUACCAUGCGCUAACAAAUAGGCUUGUUAUGUGAAAUGCCUCUCUUUGAACAUAAGCAUUGUUUGUCAGAUGAUGAAGUUGUGACACAUGCUGAGCAAGAGUGCACCAGUGAAUGGGAUAACGAGAGCAACAUGGGAUCUGAGCCAAGGAAAUCGGUGGUGGGGAUGAAAAGGCCUAUAGAAUAAAGACUGCAUAAUUCGGUUAUUAACCUAUUUGAUUUUAAUUUAUUACGCCACAUGUUAAUGUGUAGUUAUAUGAUGCUAUGUCUAUAUGAUGUGGGUAGGAAGGUAACUGAGUAGGCAGUGACAGGAGUGUAACUUGACUUGCCUCCCCUAGGCCCUACUACUUCUUGUAUUUUAACAUGUUAGGAUUUUAAUUUUAAAUUUUCCAUUUGUUUAUUACUUGAUGCA
This 1764-nucleotide unclassified non-coding RNA is filed under the name Hevea brasiliensis (rubber tree). The record is from RNAcentral. Lineage: Eukaryota; Viridiplantae; Streptophyta; Magnoliopsida; Malpighiales; Euphorbiaceae.